This 2202-nucleotide long non-coding RNA is filed under the name Malus domestica (apple). RNAcentral describes it as "long non-coding RNA (MDOM_LNC011219)". The record is from RNAcentral. Lineage: Eukaryota; Viridiplantae; Streptophyta; Magnoliopsida; Rosales; Rosaceae.
UUUCAUCGUGCUAAAACGUUUCGCACGAUGAAAUGUUGCGUCGUGCUUUGUGCAACACUUUUGCCCGAUGGAGUCUCUAGUUCGUUCGAUAGACUCUCUAUAAAGACGAAUUUUGGUUAGUCGCAUAAAACUCUAUCUAAGUUUUUUCUACUAGUGAGUUCAUGUAAGACUCAUGUUGAGUUGUCAAUUAUUAUGAAUCGAAUUACUUAAAAGGAAAAUAACUUGAUCUUCAAGAUAUUUGAAUUUGAACGUGAUUCAAUAUCAGUUAGCAAGAAUCAAGGAUCCAAGAUAUAUUUUGUUGACUAAUUGAAACCCUAAUUAAGUAUGACAUAUUGUACAUGCCUUGGUGGGACAACAUUAAGAUUAAAUGGUGAUUUGGUGUAUUCCUCCAAUUACUAUAAUAGGCGGAAUUGGAGGAACCCUAAUCACUAUAUUAACGGUGUCCCUGCUUCGACAAAAUACAUGUUCCAUUCCAAGCAAACCCUAUUAUUGCUGAAACACUUCCGCUUGUUGAAAGUAGAAGACUCAUUUGUCAUCUGCAAGAGGUAUGUCUUCCGUAUUCCAAAAAAACAGUAAAUUGUAAUUGAUUUAUUGUAAUUUUGGUUUAUCAAAUCCGUGAUCCUAAUGUCUUGUUAUUAUUCUUAUGAUUUCAGAAAUAUCUUACAGUUCAAUCUAUGUGCUUUUUAUUUACUAUAAAACGAAAAUUAAAAAAUGCUAACAAUCUUCUCAUUUGAAUAUUUCGGGUCUAAUUCUCAUCCUACAUUGUUGCACAAUUAGUUGCUAUCCUCGAUGGGAUAAUUAAUUGAGGUGAUUGACAUUUUAAUCCACCUAAUAAAUUAGCAUUUUAAUUUUUGGCUUAUUCAACCGAGAUAAAAAUUAAAGGAAAUGUCACUUAGUACUACGGUCUAGUGGUAUUUCUCUUCACUUAUAAAUGAGAGGUCUUGGGUUGAUUCACGCCAAAAGCAAAUUCGAACCAAAUUCUUAUCGCUAAUGAGGAUUUGCAAUUAAUUAACAAAGUACAAUGAAUUGGAUUAUGAUAAAAACAAAAGAUUACUUAGGCAUGAACGUUAGCAAUUGGAACUUAAGAAUAUUGUGUCCAACGAGAUUAGGUGUUACCUAUGUAUCAAAAACGAGAUAGGGAUAGACUAUUAUAGAGAACCUGUAUUCACCAUUUAAGACCUCUUAUAUAUUUCAUUGUUCUCCUAUUUUUCUCACAGGAGUCCUACUAUAUGGCAAGUAAGUAUAUGGUUCCGUGCGGAAGUUUUAUUUUAUUUUAUUUUAUUUUAUUUUUCAAACAAUAUAUUUUGUUAGAUUAGCCGCUGAGGGGGUUUGAAUCCACCUCAUCACGCAAGCGCUCAACGCCUUUCCACUACUGUGGUAAAAGGCCACUUGCAUCCAUAGGGAAGUUCUAUCUAUCCGUUUUUGCCCCAAUGAAAUGAGACCUACGUUAAGAAAGAGACCUUAUUCAACAAGACAUAACGUAAGGUUAUAUAUAUAUAUAUAUAUGAACAUCAAUAGUAUUAGAGUAUUAGAGUCUGAUAAUAAAAUAAUCAUAAACUCAAAAGAUCAGACCUAUUUUAAUAAAAUGGACUAUAUUACUAAUAUUGUAGGAAAAAAUGGAACUUAUAAAAAGUUUUUUCAUAUUAAAAUUGGUAAAUUCUAGGUUGGUAUUUAACUCCUUUGAUCAGAUCAUCUCCAAGGAAUACUUCAACAAACUCCUCAAGUAUAAUUUGUACUCUAGUUCGUCGGUAUUAGAUUUCACCAGGAUUGCAACUAGCAAAGGUACGAUUGAAUGAAAUUAUCGACAAAACAAGAUAGUACUUUGGACAGGAACGUUACCAAUUGCAACUAACAAAGUACAAUGGAUGGGAUUAUCAUAAAAACAAAAAUUACUUAGACAGGAACGUUAGCAAUUGGAACUUAAGAAUAUUGUGCACAAUAAACCAAAUGACAAGAUUGGUGUGACCUAUGUAGCAAAAACGAGACAGGGAUUGACAGUACGUAUUCACCAUCUAAGACCUCUUAAUAUCCGAAAAGCUAAGAUUGCGUCUGAAAAGUGCUAACAAACUUUAUUCAGGAAAAUUUGGCUUUUCAAACUCGGUGAGCGGUGACUCUUCGAUUUCUGAACAAGUGGCCCUGUUGCCUCUUCUUUUAUAGAGGCAUCAAUUGUGUUCAAAAAACACACUCAAAAAGUUGCGGCCU